AUGUCUAAAAGACCAGAGCACCAGGCACCUCCUGAAGUUUUCUAUAAUGAGGACGAAGCCCGAAAAUAUACACAGAACUCCCGUAUUAUGGAAAUUCAAUCACAGAUGACAGAAAGAUGUCUGGAAUUGCUGUUGUUACCUGAAGAUGCGCCAUGCCUUCUUCUGGACAUAGGAUGUGGUUCUGGACUAUCUGGGACAGUGCUGGAAGAAAAUGGUCAUAUGUGGAUUGGCAUGGAUAUAUCAUCAGCUAUGCUUGAUGUUGGAAGAGAAAGAGAAUCAGAAGGAGAUGUGAUUCUGUCAGACAUGGGUGAAGGAGUACCUUUCAGAGCUGGUUGUUUCGACGGGGCUAUAUCUGUAUCUGCUUUGCAGUGGCUGUUUAAUGCGGACAAGAAAUCCCACAAGCCUGUCAAGAGAUUGUACCAAUUCUUUAGUACAUUAUAUGCGUCACUCUCAAGAUCAGCCAGAGCAGUAUUCCAAUUCUACCCUGAAAACGAAAGCCAAUUGGAACUUCUAACAUCACAGGCAAUGAAAGCUGGCUUCUAUGGAGGUGUUGUCAUUGACUAUCCAAAUUCUGCAAAAGCUAAGAAGUUCUUCUUAGUUUUGAUGACUGGAGGAUCUGCACCAUUACCCCAGGCAUUAGGGACUGAUGAAAGUGAUAACCUUCAAAUUAAAUAUGCUAAAAGAGAAGCAACAAAAAAUAUCAGAGGCAAACCUGUGAAAAAUACAAGAGCUUGGAUCAUGGAGAAAAAGGAAAGGCGAAGGAAGCAAGGCAAAGAAACAAAGGCUGACACAAAGUACACUGGCAGGAAAAGAAGUGGUCGCUUCUAA
RNAcentral lists this ribosomal RNA (828 nucleotides) under Hyphantria cunea (fall webworm moth). RNAcentral's name for it is "partial 18S ribosomal RNA". The record is from RNAcentral. Lineage: Eukaryota; Metazoa; Arthropoda; Insecta; Lepidoptera; Erebidae.